CAGUGGUGGCAUCACCGCAUCCCCUUUCUUCCCCACAGGAGCAUGCUGUGGAGGCCUGGGGGCAUGAGGCUGGCAGCAGUACAGACCCAGGUGGGCCCUGGGACACCCUCUGCAUUGUAGCACCUCAGUGCGAGGUGUAUGUGAGCGUGGGCUCCACGGACAGGACUGAGUGCUGGGAUGAGAGCUGGGCAUAUCCCCUGCUCAGCCCCAGAGCAGAGGGCGAGCACAGAGAAAACAGUACCGAGCCCAGCACCGACCUCAGGACCUGUGCCGAAACCAACUCCGCACUCACCAGGGACAAGGAAAUGACCAGGCUGUUGGACAGCGUUCUGGGAUCAGGCAAGCGAGACAUGAUGAACUACACAGGCCACAAGGAAGAGGUGCGGACGCGAGCCCUGCAGGCAGACAGAGCCAGGUGGGGUCAGCCCGUUCCCUCUGCACCCUGGACAAGAACAGAGUCCCAGAGCUUUAGGAAAGAAAUCUGCCCUCUGAAAGCAGAGCGUGGUCCCACGAGCCAGAAGCCUGAGGAGAGCUGGGCAAAGCAUCGCACAGAGAACAGCUAUUUCUCCCUGGAGCGUCGGAAAUCUGACCCUUCCUGGGCUUCCUCCCCGCCACGUGCUAGCCGCAGCACCUCACCUGCCCGCAGCGACCUGCCACGCACCAGUGGGCACCUCGCUUCCUUCACCGGCUCCCUGACUCGGGAGCCCAGCGGGCGCCCCAUCAGUGGGGGCACAGAGGGGAGACACGGGCUGGAGAGGCAGGAGUACACAGCGCUGGCCGACCUGCCCAAGCCCAAACGCCUCAGCCACAGGGAGGCUUUCGAUCACAGCAGCUCCCGUACACUCAGCCCCGGCCGGGUGGAGGUGGAGCGGAUAUUUGGCUGUGAGCGCAGGUGAGAAGUGGGAUGGGUCUCCAUGCUGAUCUGGUUGGUCGGACGUGUAGG
Molecule: long non-coding RNA, 943 nt
Organism: Apteryx owenii (little spotted kiwi)
Lineage: Eukaryota; Metazoa; Chordata; Aves; Apterygiformes; Apterygidae
Source: Ensembl